RNAcentral lists this ribosomal RNA (394 nucleotides) under uncultured bacterium. RNAcentral describes it as "partial 16S ribosomal RNA". It matches the Rfam family "Bacterial small subunit ribosomal RNA", at positions 523 to 918 of the family's 1533-position model. The record is from RNAcentral.
AUACGUAGGGAGCGAGCGUUGUCCGGAAUUACUGGGCAUAAAGGGCGCGUAGGCGGCGCUUCAAGUCGUCUGUCAAAUGGGAGGGCUUAACCCUUUUUCGCAGACGAAACUGGAGAGCUUGAGAAGCAGAGAGGCAAACAGAAUUCCUGGUGUAGCGGUGAAAUGCGUAGAUAUCAGGAAGAAUACCAGUGGCGAAGGCGGUUUGCUGGCUGCAUACUGACGCUGAAGCGCGAAAGCCAGGGGAGCGAACGGGAUUAGAUACCCCGGUAGUCCUGGCAGUAAACGAUGUAUGCUGGGUGUGAGACUAGCGAUAGUUUCGUGCCGAAGUUAACGCGAUAAGCAUACCGCCUGGGGAGUACGGUCGCAAGAUUGAAACUCAAAUGAAUUGACGGGG